AGUGAACGCUGGCGGUAGGCCUAACACAUGCAAGUCGAACGGCAGCACAGUAAGAGCUUGCUCUUACGGGUGGCGAGUGGCGGACGGGUGAGGAAUACAUCGGAAUCUACUUUUUCGUGGGGGAUAACGUAGGGAAACUUACGCUAAUACCGCAUACGACCUAUGGGUGAAAGCAGGGGAUCUUCGGACCUUGCCCGAUUGAAUGAGCCGAUGUCGGAUUAGCUAGUUGGCGGGGUAAAGGCCCACCAAGGCGACGAUCCGUAGCUGGUCUGAGAGGAUGAUCAGCCACACUGGAACUGAGACACGGUCCAGACUCCUACGGGAGGCAGCAGUGGGGAAUAUUGGACAAUGGGCGCAAGCCUGAUCCAGCCAUACCGCGUGGGUGAAGAAGGCCUUCGGGUUGUAAAGCCCUUUUGUUGGGAAAGAAAAGCAGCAGGUUAAUACCCCGCUGUUCUGACGGUACCCAAAGAAUAAGCACCGGCUAACUUCGUG
RNAcentral lists this ribosomal RNA (492 nucleotides) under uncultured bacterium. Its description in RNAcentral is "partial 16S ribosomal RNA". It matches the Rfam family "Bacterial small subunit ribosomal RNA", at positions 29 to 507 of the family's 1533-position model. The record is from RNAcentral.